This 409-nucleotide ribosomal RNA is filed under the name Hippopus hippopus. RNAcentral describes it as "16S ribosomal RNA". It matches the Rfam family "Bacterial large subunit ribosomal RNA", at positions 1862 to 2570 of the family's 2925-position model. The record is from RNAcentral. Lineage: Eukaryota; Metazoa; Mollusca; Bivalvia; Cardiida; Cardiidae.
CCCGGUGCCCUGCGGGGUUAACGGCGGUGUUAAACCUUAAAGUAGCGUGAUAGAUUGGCCUUUAAUUGGGGUCUGGUAUGAAUGGGUUGACGUCGGAAAUGCUGUCUCAAAAAAAUAUAAUGAAAUUUACUUUUCAGUGAAAAGGCUGAAAUUUGAGUAAAAGACGAGAAGACCCUAUCGAGCUUGAGGGAUUCUAAUGUUGUAAAACCGUUAGAAGGAGUUUGGCUGGGGCAGCAACGGAGGUAACCUCCGUUUUUAAGUCGAAGAUCCAUUAGAUUGGUUAAUGAUAAGAGGAAAAAGUUACCGUAGGGAUAACAGCACCAGACCGCCUCAGAGGCCGUAUCGAAGGCGGAAGGUGUGACCUCGAUGUUGGAUCAGGGUGAACCGCAUGGUGCAGGAGCUAUGCAGG